UACGUAGGGGGCGAGCGUUGUCCGGAUUUAUUGGGCGUAAAGAGCGUGUAGGCGGCCAGGUAGGUCUGCUGUGAAAACUCGAGGCUCAACCUCGAGACGUCGGCGGAAACCAUCUGGCUAGAGUCCGGAAGAGGAGAGUGGAAUUCCUGGUGUAGCGGUGAAAUGCGUAGAUAUCAGGAGGAAUACCGAUGGCGAAGGCAGGUCUCUGGGCUAUAACUGACGCUCAUGCACGAAAGCGUGGGGAGCAAACAGG
Molecule: ribosomal RNA, 253 nt
Filed under: uncultured bacterium
Lineage: Bacteria
Description: partial 16S ribosomal RNA
Rfam family: Bacterial small subunit ribosomal RNA
Source: RNAcentral